RNAcentral lists this long non-coding RNA (1570 nucleotides) under Lactuca sativa (garden lettuce). RNAcentral's name for it is "long non-coding RNA (LSAT_LNC006539)". Lineage: Eukaryota; Viridiplantae; Streptophyta; Magnoliopsida; Asterales; Asteraceae. The record is from RNAcentral.
CAAAAUUAACCUCUUUCUUCAUUAUUCAUCCAGUCAAGUUGCUAUGGUUAAGGCAACCCAAAAGGAUUAUGCUACUAUCGGGUCAAGUACAUACCAAUUAUAGUUAUGGGCUUAGACACCUAAUCCAAAAAUUACAACUCACGUCAUGAGAACGAAUUUUUGCUGAAUUCUUCAUCUUUUAAGCUUUUAACCUUCAAAGUUCUGAUCCCUGUCGCUUUUAGUCCUUAUUCUUUCAAGAUGACUUCUUUUGGCUGCAAAAUGUAAUUUAGUCUUAUAAGUACCAUAUAUCUAUGAAGAUAACCAAAAUAUGUAUAAAAAUAUAUUCAAAUAUUGCCUAAAUAUAUGUAUAAAUAUGGCAAGAUCAUCAGAUAUAGCCCUUCACCCAUUCCAAAUAAUCCAGAAUUUCCCUCUUUUACCCUAGUCCUAGAAAACCCAUAUUAAUGUAUUUUUAAAGAUGCCUAAAAUCCAAAUUAUUCUCAAGAAAGCCUCCUAAAUAUUACAAACCAAAUAGAAGACUAUAAAAAUAUUAUGACACCUCUUCCUCAACAAAAAAUCCAAAAAAGAAAAGAUCCGAUGAAAAUACUCUUCAAGAAGCAGUUAGUAAAAUGGUUCAACAAAUAUUGAAGACUAUGAUUCGAGAUUUAGAUGAUAAUUCAGAAAAAAAAACUAUUGUUGAAGAUGAACAAAGAAGAGACACUCCUAUGCCGGCUUAUUUGUCAUGUCCGAAUGAUAAUGUAUCUAGCGAAGAAAGUGGAAGCAAUAAUUCAGAAAAUCAAUUGGAUCUAAAUGGAGACAACAAUCAAUCAUACGGUGCAUUUUCUUUUGAUUCAAUUGCCAGACAUAGUCUUGACACUUGAAGAUUUUUUUUUACUACUGAAGAUUCUCUAGAAGAUAAAAAAACAAUAAUUUUAGUCAACAAUGAUAGACAAGACAUUUACUAUUACAAAAUUCCAUUUCAAAGAAGGCAACAACUUCCAUUAUGAAGCAUUGAUGGAAAAGACCUCCGCCACAAAUUUCCACCGUCUAAAUUUAUGGAGACAACUUUAUCAAGGACACUUGUGCAUUUUUCAAUAGUUUUGGUGAUAUUUUCCCUUUCAAAUUCCCUAUAUAAAGAAGCAUUUGUUUAGAAGUUAGACACAACUACUAAGAAGCAAAAAACCUCUCACCUUUCACUCUUUUAACCCAUUCACUUAAAAGUUCUUAAAGCUCUUCUUCUACUUUGUUGUAUAAACGUUGUAAGAUAUCCAAGUUUGCAUGUAAGUUUCUUUCCUUUAUUUACUUUUAGUUUUUAAGGGAUUUCCCGAAAUGGAAAACCUUUAGUCCUUUAAUAUCAUGUAAUUUUAGUUCGAAGUUCCUAUAUGUUUGUAUCAUAUUUUAUUUCUCAUCUGUAAGUAUAUUGUAAAAUAUAUUGUAAUAUAAAAUAAAGUUUGUUUAAUAAAAAUAUUGUCUAUAAUAAUAUUUGUUAAUAUCUCAUCUUAAUAGUAUUAUAAUCUUUAUUUCUUACUAAGCGGCCCACAUAUUGGACAGACGAAGAGCCAUAGUGAGCCUAUUAUAAAGUCCUUUUCUGAUG